UACGGAGGGUGCAAGCGUUAAUCGGAAUUACUGGGCGUAAAGCGUGCGCAGGCGGUUUGUUAAGUCUGUUGUGAAAUCCCCGAGCUCAACUUGGGAAUUGCAAUGGAUACUGGCAGGCUCGAGUAUGGUAGAGGAAGGUGGAAUUCCCGGUGUAGCAGUGAAAUGCGUAGAGAUCGGGAGGAACACCAGUGGCGAAGGCGGCCUUCUGGACCAAUACUGACGCUCAUGCACGAAAGCGUGGGGAGCGAACAGG
This 253-nucleotide ribosomal RNA is filed under the name uncultured bacterium. RNAcentral describes it as "partial 16S ribosomal RNA". It matches the Rfam family "Bacterial small subunit ribosomal RNA", at positions 524 to 776 of the family's 1533-position model. The record is from RNAcentral.